RNA transcript from Prunus persica (peach), 955 nucleotides. It is a transcript of the gene named DNA polymerase zeta catalytic subunit, with no coding region annotated. The record is from RefSeq and is a predicted model, not a curated record. The transcript has 4 exons. NCBI's taxonomy places the organism in Eukaryota, Viridiplantae, Streptophyta, Magnoliopsida, Rosales, Rosaceae.
AGAGCCCUUUCAUUUUUCAUUGACCGCCAAAUAACUCCAGCCAAAACUCAAAUUUCCCCCUUCUUCACCAGCAAAAGUGAAAAAUGGGCAAUUUCAGAAACCUAGCAGCCGCCUCCAACACUCACUCUCCCUAUGCGUCUCUCUCUCAUCCCCCUCUCUCACUAAGUCAUUGUCUCUCCCUCUGCGUCUCUCUCUCUCAUCUCAUCCAUCUUCGUUUGCCUCUGACCGUCUCUGUCUCUCUCUCACGAUCUCACCCUCUCCGUCUCUCUCCCGAUCUCACCCUCUCCGUCUCUCUCGCGAUCUCACCCUCUCUGUCUCUCUCCCGAUCUCACCGUCUCUGUCUCUCUGUCCUCUGUCUCAAUUAGUUAGAUUUCAGUUCUCUUUUUCAUGUCUCUGUUUUUUUACUUAUUUGUCAAUUGUGCAUUUUACUUGCGGUGAUUUGGUUGUGCAGGUUCUGUCAUGAAGCAUCAACUAUGAUGAGGGACAUACCAAGCCUAUCCUUUCUGUGUGCUGGGAUCCAUCUGGUGAGUUCCUUGCAUCAGUCAAAUUAUACAUGGUCACCCUAUAAGGUUAGAGCAUACUUACAGCGUCAAUGGAAGCAGAUUCUAUCUGGAAGGGUGUCUCUUCAGGAUUUUGUAUCUGCAAAGGAGGUUCGCCUAGGCACCUACUAACUAGCUCUGUUCUUGUUUUGGCAGGAUAAACAAACAAUGUUAUUGUUAAUGGGAAAUAGCAGCAGCCCAUCAUUAGCGAAGAUUCAAAGGAAGCUAUGAAGCAUGCAUUCGAACUCUUUAAUGUUCGAUUGGAAGUAGACUUUGGGACUAGUGAUAUAGGACAUAGCUUAGGAUUGUAAUGAAUAUUUGUAAUUUAUUACAUUUGUCUUUUAUUAAUGAUGAUAUAUACUAUUCUUCGAACAACAAUUUUUCAAUUGAAAUAUUAUUUAGAUUUUUUGACAAAA